UAAGGAAUAUUGGUCAAUGGACGCAAGUCUGAACCAGCCAUGCCGCGUGAAGGAUGAAGGUCCUCUGGAUUGUAAACUUCUUUUAUAUGGGACGAAACCUUCUUUUCUAAGGAGACUGACGGUACCAUAGGAAUAAGCACCGGCUAACUCCGUGCCAGCAGCCGCGGUAAUACGGAGGGUGCAAGCGUUAUCCGGAUUCACUGGGUUUAAAGGGUGCGUAGGCGGGCAGGGAAGUCAGUGGUGAAAUCCUCAAGCUUAACUUGAGAACUGCCGUUGAUACUCUCUGUCUUGAAUAUCGUGGAGGUGAGCGGAAUAUGUCAUGUAGCGGUGAAAUGCUUAGAUAUGACAUAGAACACCAAUUGCGAAGGCAGCUCGCUACACGAAUAUUGACGCUGAGGCACGAAAGCGUGGGGAUCAAACAG
RNAcentral lists this ribosomal RNA (422 nucleotides) under uncultured bacterium. RNAcentral's name for it is "bacterial SSU rRNA". It matches the Rfam family "Bacterial small subunit ribosomal RNA", at positions 355 to 775 of the family's 1533-position model. The record is from RNAcentral.